UACAGAGGGGGCAAGCGUUGUUCGGAUUUACUGGGCGUAAAGGGCGCGUAGGCGGUCAGCACAAGUCAGUUGUGAAAUCUCCGGGCUUAACUCGGAAAGGUCAACUGAUACUGUGCGACUAGAGUGCAGAAGGGGCAACUGGAAUUCUCGGUGUAGCGGUGAAAUGCGUAGAUAUCGAGAGGAACGCCUGCGGCGAAGGCGGGUUGCUGGGCUGACACUGACGCUGAUGCGCGAAAGCCAGGGGAGCGAACGGG
This 254-nucleotide ribosomal RNA is filed under the name uncultured bacterium. RNAcentral's name for it is "partial 16S ribosomal RNA". It matches the Rfam family "Bacterial small subunit ribosomal RNA", at positions 524 to 776 of the family's 1533-position model. The record is from RNAcentral.